RNAcentral lists this non-coding RNA (27 nucleotides) under Homo sapiens (human). Lineage: Eukaryota; Metazoa; Chordata; Mammalia; Primates; Hominidae. The record is from RNAcentral.
UGGCAAAAUGAACGAGGGUGACAGCCA